This 640-nucleotide ribosomal RNA is filed under the name bacterium Ca.J21Z. RNAcentral's name for it is "bacterial SSU rRNA". It matches the Rfam family "Bacterial small subunit ribosomal RNA", at positions 48 to 670 of the family's 1533-position model. The record is from RNAcentral.
CCUACACAUGCAAGNUCGCAACGGCUAGCACAGAAGUAGCUUGCGUCUCGGGUGACGAGCUGCCGGACGGGUGAGUUAAUGUCUGGGAAACUGCCUGAUGGAGGGGGAUAACUACUGGAAACNAGUAGCUAAUACCGCAUAACGUCGCAAGACCAAAGAGGGGGACCUUCGGGCCUCUUGCCAUCAGAUGUGCCCAGAUGGGAUUAGCUAGUAGGUGGGGUAACGGCUCACCUAGGCGACGAUCCCUAGCUGGUCUGAGAGGAUGACCAGCCACACUGGAACUGAGACACGGUCCAGACUCCUACGGGAGGCAGCAGUGGGGAAUAUUGCACAAUGGGCGCAAGCCUGAUGCAGCCAUGCCGCGUGUAUGAAGAAGGCCUUCGGGUUGUAAAGUACUUUCAGCGGGGAGGAAGGUGUUGUGGUUAAUAACCGCAGCAAUUGACGUUACCCGCAGAAGAAGCACCGGCUAACUCCGUGCCAGCAGCCGCGGUAAUACGGAGGGUGCAAGCGUUAAUCGGAAUUACUGGGCGUAAAGCGCACGCAGGCGGUCUGUCAAGUCGGAUGUGAAAUCCCCGGGCUCAACCUGGGAACUGCAUUCGAAACUGGCAGGCUAGAGUCUUGUAGAGGGGGGUAGAAUUCC